UCAAGUGAAGAAGCGCAUACGGUGGAUGCCUUGGCAGUCAGAGGCGAUGAAAGACGUGGUAGCCUGCGAAAAGCUUCGGGGAGUCGGCAAACAGACUGUGAUCCGGAGGUAUCUGAAUGGGGGAACCCAGCCAUCAUAAGAUGGUUAUCUUGUACUGAAUACAUAGGUGCAAGAGGCGAACCAGGGGAACUGAAACAUCUAAGUACCCUGAGGAAAAGAAAUCAACCGAGAUUCCCUUAGUAGUGGCGAGCGAACGGGGACCAGCCCUUAAGUUGUAUUGAGAUUAGCGGAACGUUCUGGAAAGGACGGCCAUAGUGGGUGAUAGCCCUGUACGCGAAAAUCCCUUUGCAAUGAAAUCGAGUAGGACGGGGCACGAGAAACCUUGUCUGAAUAUGGGGGGACCAUCCUCCAAGGCUAAAUACUACUGACUGACCGAUAGUGAACCAGUACCGUGAGGGAAAGGCGAAAAGAACCGCGGAGAGCGGAGUGAAAUAGAUCCUGAAACCGUAUGCGUACAAGCAGUGGGAGCCCACUUUGUUGGGUGACUGCGUACCUUUUGUAUAAUGGGUCAGCGACUUAUUUUCAGUGGCGAGCUUAACCGAAUAGGGGAGGCGUAGCGAAAGCGAGUCUUAAUAGGGCGUCUAGUCGCUGGGAAUAGACCCGAAACCGGGCGAUCUAUCCAUGGGCAGGUUGAAGGUUGGGUAACACUAACUGGAGGACCGAACCGACUACCGUUGAAAAGUUAGCGGAUGACCUGUGGAUCGGAGUGAAAGGCUAAUCAAGCUCGGAGAUAGCUGGUUCUCCUCGAAAGCUAUUUAGGUAGCGCCUCAUGUAUCACUGUAGGGGGUAGAGCACUGUUUCGGCUAGGGGGUCAUCCCGACUUACCAAACCGAUGCAAACUCCGAAUACCUACAAGUGCCGAGCAUGGGAGACACACGGCGGGUGCUAACGUCCGUCGUGAAAAGGGAAACAACCCAGACCGUCAGCUAAGGUCCCAAAGUCAUGGUUAAGUGGGAAACGAUGUGGGAAGGCUUAGACAGCUAGGAGGUUGGCUUAGAAGCAGCCACCCUUUAAAGAAAGCGUAAUAGCUCACUAGUCGAGUCGGCCUGCGCGGAAGAUGUAACGGGGCUCAAACCAUGCACCGAAGCUACGGGUAUCAUCUUUUGAUGAUGCGGUAGAGGAGCGUUCUGUAAGCCUGUGAAGGUGAGUUGAGAAGCUUGCUGGAGGUAUCAGAAGUGCGAAUGCUGACAUGAGUAACGACAAUGGGUGUGAAAAACACCCACGCCGAAAGACCAAGGUUUCCUGCGCAACGUUAAUCGACGCAGGGUUAGUCGGUCCCUAAGGCGAGGCUGAAAAGCGUAGUCGAUGGAAAACAGGUUAAUAUUCCUGUACUUCUGGUUAUUGCGAUGGAGGGACGGAGAAGGCUAGGCCAGCCUGGCGUUGGUUGUCCAGGUUUAAGGUGGUAGGCUGAGAUCUUAGGUAAAUCCGGGAUCUUAAGGCCGAGAGCUGAUGACGAGUGUUCUUUUAGAACACGAAGUGGUUGAUGCCAUGCUUCCAAGAAAAGCUUCUAAGCUUCAGGUAACCAGGAACCGUACCCCAAACCGACACAGGUGGUUGGGUAGAGAAUACCAAGGCGCUUGAGAGAACUCGGGUGAAGGAACUAGGCAAAAUGGCACCGUAACUUCGGGAGAAGGUGCGCCGGUGAGGGUGAAGCAUUUACUGCGUAAGCCCAUGCCGGUCGAAGAUACCAGGCCGCUGCGACUGUUUAUUAAAAACACAGCACUCUGCAAACACGAAAGUGGACGUAUAGGGUGUGACGCCUGCCCGGUGCCGGAAGGUUAAUUGAUGGGGUUAGCGCAAGCGAAGCUCUUGAUCGAAGCCCCGGUAAACGGCGGCCGUAACUAUAACGGUCCUAAGGUAGCGAAAUUCCUUGUCGGGUAAGUUCCGACCUGCACGAAUGGCGUAACGAUGGCGGCGCUGUCUCCACCCGAGACUCAGUGAAAUUGAAAUCGCUGUGAAGAUGCAGUGUAUCCGCGGCUAGACGGAAAGACCCCGUGAACCUUUACUAUAGCUUUGCACUGGACUUUGAAUUUGCUUGUGUAGGAUAGGUGGGAGGCUUUGAAGCGUGGACGCCAGUCUGCGUGGAGCCAACCUUGAAAUACCACCCUGGCAACUUUGAGGUUCUAACUCAGGUCCGUUAUCCGGAUCGAGGACAGUGUAUGGUGGGUAGUUUGACUGGGGCGGUCUCCUCCUAAAGAGUAACGGAGGAGUACGAAGGUGCGCUCAGACCGGUCGGAAAUCGGUCGUAGAGUAUAAAGGCAAAAGCGCGCUUGACUGCGAGACAGACACGUCGAGCAGGUACGAAAGUAGGUCUUAGUGAUCCGGUGGUUCUGUAUGGAAGGGCCAUCGCUCAACGGAUAAAAGGUACUCCGGGGAUAACAGGCUGAUACCGCCCAAGAGUUCAUAUCGACGGCGGUGUUUGGCACCUCGAUGUCGGCUCAUCACAUCCUGGGGCUGAAGCCGGUCCCAAGGGUAUGGCUGUUCGCCAUUUAAAGUGGUACGCGAGCUGGGUUUAGAACGUCGUGAGACAGUUCGGUCCCUAUCUGCCGUGGACGUUUGAGAUUUGAGAGGGGCUGCUCCUAGUACGAGAGGACCGGAGUGGACGAACCUCUGGUGUUCCGGUUGUCACGCCAGUGGCAUUGCCGGGUAGCUAUGUUCGGAAAAGAUAACCGCUGAAAGCAUCUAAGCGGGAAACUUGCCUCAAGAUGAGAUCUCACUGGAACCUUGAGUUCCCUAAAGGGCCGUCGAAGACUACGACGUUGAUAGGUUGGGUGUGUAAGCGCUGUGAGGCGUUGAGCUAACCAAUACUAAUUGCCCGUGAGGCUUGACCAU
RNAcentral lists this ribosomal RNA (2892 nucleotides) under Pseudomonas syringae pv. aceris. Its description in RNAcentral is "bacterial LSU rRNA". It matches the Rfam family "Bacterial large subunit ribosomal RNA". RNAcentral also lists the same sequence under 1 other name. The record is from RNAcentral. Lineage: Bacteria; Pseudomonadati; Pseudomonadota; Gammaproteobacteria; Pseudomonadales; Pseudomonadaceae.